GACGAACGCUGGCGGCAAGCCUCACACAUGCAAGUCGAACGGAGUGGCGGACGGGUGAGUAAUGUCUGGGAAACUGCCUGAUGGAGGGGGAUAACUACUGGAAAAGGUAGCUAAUACCGCAUACUAUCAGAUGAGCCUAGGUCGGAUUAGCUAGGUGGUGGGGUAAAGGCCUACCAAGGCGACGAUCCGUAACUGGUCCGAGAGGAUGAUCAGUCCCCCGGGAACUGAGACACGGUCCAGACUCCUACGGGAGGCAGCAGUGGGGAAUAUUGGACAAUGGGUGAAAGCCUGAUCCAGCCAUGCCGCGUGUGUGAAGAAGGUCUUCGGAUUGUAAAGCACUUUAAGUUGGGAGGCGUUACCAACAGAAUAAGCACCGGCUAACUUCGUGCCAGCAGCCGCGGUAAUUC
RNAcentral lists this ribosomal RNA (407 nucleotides) under uncultured bacterium. Its description in RNAcentral is "partial 16S ribosomal RNA". It matches the Rfam family "Bacterial small subunit ribosomal RNA", at positions 28 to 526 of the family's 1533-position model. The record is from RNAcentral.